UUUGAUCUAACGCUCUGAACUAGGCAAACAAUGGUAAUAUAACAUCAGUCCAUUUCCCUUCUCAAACACUCUCGAAUGAGAAACCCUAGCCGCCCCUUUUACCCUCGCCGUCUCCGCCGUAGUCCACCAAUCGGAAAUCGCCUCAUGGCGGCAGAACACCUCCAAACUCCACCAAAUUAACACCAGAUAACCACCAUAACCUCCUCAUCCUAUAUCUAUCACCGAUUUCUCCAAAAUCUUUACCCAUUUGCUCCAAUUUCAGAUCUAAAACUUUGAAAGAAAACCAAAACCCUAAACUGUCCUGUUCUCUUUGAUUAUUAUGGUUUCAAAGGUUAUGAUAAUCGAUUGUUCUUGACAAGAGCAAUCAAUUAGCGUCAGUUUUGGUUUAUUUCAAGACCUUCCGGACUCUGACCAAGCACCUACUGGCCCGCCAAAGCUCCAAGGCUUACAUAGCUCAUGCACCUGCCUUAGUUACCUACUUAAUCUCCCAGUCGUUUGUUUUUAUUUCCCUUUUAUUUUCUGUUUCUUCUCAUGUGUUAUUAUUUCUGCAAUACUGUUUUAGGUUUCAAGUCUAUCUUUAUUUUUCUUUUUUUUUUCUUUUAGCUUUGCUUGACUACUGCACUAUAAUAAAGUUUUAGUUUAAAUUUAGUUGCAUAGUCUUCUAGUUAACAACAUUGUUAUUUAGUCGACGACUCUUCUUUUAAUCUAGUUUGAACCAAUUUGUUUAAAAUGGUUUCUGUAUUUAGAUUACUCAAAUGCAUGAUUAGUUAAUUCAGAUUACAAGUUUUUUUAAUUAGCCCUAAGGUUGUGACCACAUGAUGUCUUGGUUUGUUUAGAGGUCUGAUAUGUGUUUGCUACCUUAUUUUGUUAAUUGGAAAUCAGGAGUUUAAAAUAGUAAUAACAAGAACCUAAAAGGAGGUCAAUUGGGAAAUGAGAUAAGGGUUUGAUAUCAGAAGCUUCUAGAAGGGGCUAAUGAGUAAUCAAACAAGCUGAAUUUAGGUCAGAAUUGGUGGGGAUUAAAAUAAACUAGCAAAUGGGAGGGUAAAAUUGGGUUUUACAUAAGUUAAAUAUCAGAAGAUUCUAGGACUUUGGACAGCUGUCCCCAUUUUUAGCAAAAGAUGCUGAAAUUGGGUGGGAAAAAGAACAUACAGCUGUAAAAAGAUGCUAUAAUAUUCUGAAUUUCAGAAUUUUAGGUUAGAAUAUUCCAUUUUUUAUGCCUUUUUGUGCACUCUAUAACAAGAAAAUCACUCACUCAUAUACACACACUCAUCAGAUUUUCAGAAACCUGAAAAGCACAAAAACGUUCAGCUAUUGUUUCAUUGAUAGCUGAUCAAUUUCUUUUCUGAUUUCGACCUAAGUUAGAAUAAAUUUUUCUUUUGAAAUUUCUGGAUUCUUGAGUUGCAAGAUGGUUUGAGGUUGAAUGCUAUAGUACUGUUGGUUUUUGCUGCUAGUUUCAUUGGUUUCCUUCUUUGUUCUUGUUGUUUUUUCCUUGAAGAUUCAUAUCCUUAUUCUUAUUCUUUGUAACCAGGUAUAUCUUGUGCCUUGAAUUAUGAAUGAAAGCUUGUUUUGAAGAUAUUGCUGCCAUGGAGUUUUGGAAUUAUAUUUACAUUUUUAUUUCGUUCUGAUGUUUACUUCUGAGUAAUUCGAAUACUGUUCUUUUUUUGGCUUUUUUCUUAUUAGUUUCUGUUUAGUUACAUUAAAGUUUUUGCUGUGUGGAUUCAUGAAAUAGCCAGGAUGUUCAGUGUUGAAGGAUUUGAAUAGCACCUCUUGCAUAUGCUGAGUUUAGGUUAAGUAGUCUAGUUUAAAAUGUUAACUUUCAGUCUUUUCUACUUCUAUGUGAUUCUGUCCAGUUUUUUAAAUUUACUGUUUGGUAAUAUAUGAGCUUUUCAUGCUUGAGUAUUUUGGAUAAGUGCUGGGUAUAAUCAAAAUAGAACAUGAUUGAUGCUUGAGUACAUUUGGUUGAAGUGUUUCAGCACUACUACAGUGUGUAAAAUGAUUGUAUGUUCAUGUUGCUUCAUGAGCAACAAUUGUAGUCUUUUAGCGUUUCUACAGUGUUCAAAAGAAUUAUGUAUAUUGAAAAUGCAAUGUAUAGCUUUAAGCAUGUUCAGUUUUUCUUACUACUGCUAAUUCCAGCAUUUUUAACUAACCAUCUACAAUGAUUUAGGAACAGUUUUAAAGAUUCAAUUAUUUUUUUGUUAUUAUUAAAGGUAUGAUAAAUAUUUAAGGCCCAGCAGGUUAGGCAUUUCAUUUAUAAUUGGUGCAAAUAUGACUAUACACGAAUUGUGAUGAGUUAAGCCUUAACAGGCUUUGGGUGUUUGAGGUACUUUGGGCCUGGCAAUGGCCCAAAUCAGGCUGCCAAGCCGAAAACAUGCCUCUUUUGUUUUCAUCCUCCUUUGUCUUAUGUUUGGGCUCAAUUUGCGAGCCCAGUUGGUACCAGCCUUAUUUUCUUUUAGUAAUCACCCUUAAUAAUAUAUCGGGCAUAAUGCUGGCCCAGUUGCUUGCUAAUAGCUAAAGACCUUCCUUAUAUUUCCCUACAUAUAAUUAAUAGCUUGACAUUUAAGUCCAAAAUAGCUGUAAGUAAGAACAUCCUUCUAUUACUUUAAUUAAACCCUAGUCUUCUAAAAUUGAGGUGUGCCAUCUAUCAUCGAAUCAUCUAUGGCCCUCAUAUUAGUAUUACAACUUAGAUAUUAAAUAACCUUAAAUACUUGUUAGCUUGCUUUAGGCAUGACUUAGAUUAUUAUCGUGAUUAUGAAUACGUUCGUGUGACAUAAUUACGAAUUUCAUUCUAAAAAUAAAUCGAGGGACGCGUUCGCGCAACUUCAACCAAACUUUCUAAAUAAUUAAUAAAGCGUGAUUAAUUGUGGACACGUAUGCAUGACAUGAUUUUUGACGCGCCAAACGAAAUGAGUACACAUACGCGUGACUCAAUUCUUUAAUUAUGAAUAAUCAAGAAAUUAAAAAGCGGUAAAAAGGUAAAUGCACAUAGGUUCUAAAAUAAGUAAUUAGACAAUUUAAGCCAAGUAUAAAUCGCUAAGAGAUCGUGCUAGAACCACGGAACCCGGGAAUUCCUAGCACCUUCUCCCGGAUUAACAGAAUUCCUUAUCUAGAAUUUCUGGUUUGCAGACAUUUAAAUAAAGUCAAAAAUUUCCUCGAUUUGGGAUUUUAACAUAAACUGGUGACUUGGGAAACCAAAAAUAAACUAUUCCAAGUGGCAACUCUGAUAAAUUAAAUAAAAUAAUUCCAUUUCGAAUCAUGUCACUUUAAUUGAAAAAACUCCCUUAUAUCCUCCCCCUCGGGCGGGUAAAAAAAGAGGUGUGACAGCUCUGGCGACUUCGUUGGGGAAUGAGAACCCAGAACUUCUGGUUCAGGGUUCAAGAAUUUGAACUUGUUAAUGUGAUUUUUAUUUGGCUUUAUUUAUUGUUGAUAUUACUGUAUUUUGUGUACCUAAUGUGCUAAUUUCCAUUUAUUUACUGUUUUGAUAUUACUUGAACUGUAUUUAAAUGUCUUCUUAUGCCUCCUUUCUGAGUCUUCUAAAAGACGGUGCACACGUUUGCAUGGCCCACUUUUUCUGUUAGAAGUUAUACCAAAUAGAACGAGGCUGGGCAAUCAACAAGGCCGGACAAACUUUCGUGCUCCCGGUACGUUGCCCCCUCUUCAGAUCGAGUCUGUUCGCUCGGGUAAGCCAGGUUUAGAACACAACCCCAGGUUUAUACUUAGAAUAACGUAACCUCAUGCCGGAUCCCUAGUAGGAACUUUUAUUUUUAUCACGUGCAUUUAACCUUGGGGACUCAACACAGGGGUUGGGUCUAUCUAGGACGGGUGUACCCAAAAUAAAAGACCAUCCUGAUGCAUCCUACAUGCUAUAUGAAUAUUUAUUUGUUUCGGCUUACAUGUUGACCGGCUAGGAAAAGAAAAUCAAGAGAAAAACCAAGAGUGAGGUAGGAUAGAGAAUUCACCCGGUUCUGAAAAUCUCAGUAUUUGAAAAUGCCUCGAAACUCUGCCAAAUUUUUUGAAAAAAAAAGAGAGGAAAGGAAAAUGUAUUUCAAGAAAAAAAAGAGUGAGUAAAAUAUCAUUUUUUCCAAUUAUGUCAAAAUUGACCGAACUACGCAGGUCUGAUUCUCACCGGAUGUGGGAUACGUAGGCAACCUUUAUAAGAUUCAGCCUCAUUUUUGCAAAAAAUAACCAAAUAAAUGUAGUUUAGGGCUUUGGUCAAAAGAACAAGCCGACCCAGCUUCAGUUAUGUCUUAAGUCGUUCUUGCCGGGAUAACCUUAGAAUAUCUUUCAAUUGUCGAAGGGCUAUUUUCGUGAAGAAUGGGCAAGUCUGUCAAUAAGGUGUCAUUUUUCCACAAAGUACCUUCCCCCGACCUCAAAAUUUAUUUGGAAUUGUGAAGGGGCUAUGUUUACAAAAAUGACCACUUUUGCUAAAAUAGCAUAGGGGGCCAUUUUUCAUUAAUUCUCUCUUUUUUGGAAAUUGAAAACUUGUUUCACAAAGGAGUUCACCAGAGUCAACCCUAACCUUAAACAUCCACAGGUACAAAUGAACACUGUCCAGAACCCAUCACAAUUGGUCAUAGAGUAGGCUCAGGUGCAGCUUCGUAUGUGGUGGAAUGAUUUAGAUGAAGAUGGUCAGGAUUGGGUAAAAGAGCAGUUGGGUGCCCUUAUAGACAUUAUGAAAAUCCAACCCCUAGAGGAUCUAAUCAAGGCUUUGGUAACCUUUUGGGAUCCUAUACACAACGUGUUCCGUUUCUCGGAUUUUGAGCUCACCCCCACUCUGGAGGAAAAGGCCGGAUAUAUUUACUUUUACCGGGACUUGAGGAAAUAGCAACUUAUAUUCCCAAGGGCUCCCUCUAUGCACAAGUUCUUUGAUCUUUUGAAUAUCAAUAAGCAAAUGAAGAAGGUCCAUGUAAACAAAGGAUGUUGUUCUUUCUACUUCUUGUACUUUAGGUUCGGGCACUCAUCUAGGUUUGAAACGCAUGAAAAGGGAUUAAACAACAAACAAGAUAACAGCCUCUGGCAAAUUCAUCGUCGGUUCUCUUUCAUUGUGGCGUUUUUAGGAACUAUGGUCUUUGCGAAUGCAGAAGGGACAAUAAAUACUCGUAUGGCCAGAAUUGCACAAAUCCUCACUACUAAAAAAGAUCACACACUUGUUCCGUUAGUGUUGGCUGACAUUUAUUGAGCAGUAACCUUGUGUAAAUCUGGGGCUAAAUUCUUUGAGGGUUGCAACAUUCUUCUUCAAAUGUGGCUAAUCGAACAUCUCGGUCGUCACCCCAAGUUUAUGAGUUAUGGUUCGGGCAGGAACAACUUCAUCAAGAAUUAUGAGGAAAGGGUGGAAGACUACAAUUCUCUAGAAGGGUUUGAGGUCUGGGUCUCCCACUUAAGAACUCUAAAGGCAAGUCAGAUUGAAUGGACCUUAGGAUGGAUUCCGGUAACGUAAGUCAUACACAUCACGGCUUUAAAAGGCUACCUAAUGAUGAUGGGUCUAAGGAGUAUCCAACCAUACGCACUGCAAAAAGUUCUGAGGCAACUGGGAAGAUAUCAAGUGGUACCCAAAGAUGUAGAUUUGAGUACUCAAGUCAUUGAGCUACACCCAGAAGCAACACUACCUGAGGGUUUAGUCCAACGGGAUUGGAAUGGUUGCUUAUAUCUGAAAAGUGACACCCAGGUACCAGAUCUUGCAAGAGGAGAAGUGGAUCCAGGUUAUGCUGCGUGGUUUGAGAGAAGGUCUUGUGCGAAUAAUGAGCCAGAGCCCGAGCCCGAGCCUGAAAGGCCCGCUAAAAGACCUCAUUUUCAGGCUUUUUAUGAUAAAAUCUGGGAAAGGUUGGCUUGGGGAGAGAAGGAGAAAAAAAUAUCAAGUCACCAUUCACUCUUUGGAAGAAAAAUUGAGAAACGCCAUAUCCAAUAAUGAUAUACAGGCGCAAGAAGCUGAAGGUGAAAGGAGAAGGUUGGCCCAAGAAAAUUAAGCUCUCCGAGCCCAAAUCCGAAGAUGAAAAUAGCAGUUAAGAACCCGGUCAGAAGCAGAACAGAUGAAAAACUCAUCUAGAGCCUUACAAAGAAAGUAAGCGACUAUGAGGAUGAUUUGAAAAAGACUGAGGCUGAGCUAGCAAAAACCCGAACAAAGUUGGCUAUAAAUGCAGAAGAACAGGCAAGUUUCGUUCUACAGUUGAACGAAAGAUAUGACAUAGGAGUCAUGGGCUGGAAAAAGGAGCUUAAUAGCCUUGAGGGUGAAAUGACUAAACAAGCCAAGAGCUUCAAAGCCAAAAGAGAACACUGUUACGCUUUGAUGGUACAACUUGAGGAAGACCUACAACAUUUGCAAGACCAGAAUCAUACGGCCACCAGGUUUUGAAGGCUAGAUCUCAACAGAUUGGGUGGUUGUUACAAGAGAAGGGCAUCAUCAGGAAAAGGGUUAGAAGAAUCGCCGACUACAUUGUGAUGAAGUGCAACGAGUGCGAGGACAUGAACAGGUCCAUGUUCUUCUCCACAUUAAUGAUAUUUGUUCACCAGAUAAUGGACGACCUCCAUCGCCUCCAUGAAGACAUGGCACGUAGGCCCACGGCAAGACUAACUGGGGUCCCUAGGGCAGGAUUGGAGGCACUUAUGUACUCCAGAUUGUUUUUUUUUCUUUUCGAGUCUGUAUUUUUAUUCCUAGAGUCUUUUUUAGUUUUUCAAUUCUUAAGUAUGUAUGAUCGAGUCUUUGUAAUAGAGAAAAAUUAGAAGUUUUUGUUUUAAUGAAAAUUUGAAAAACCUAAAAAUUGUUUAUUUAUUUCGCAUUUAUCCUUUGAACUACAAGAUGAUUUGAUUCACAGGGCAUCGUGAUACGUAGGAAAUCCCCAUCGGAUCCGGUCAUGGUUUUAAAUAACUCAAAUAAAAGAGGAAACAAGAAAAAGAGAGAAAACAAGAAUAAGAGAAAACAAUGAGAGAGUGCAAAGAAAAGAGAGCAAAUAAUAAAAGCGCCAAAAGAAAAGAAAGAUGCAAAGGAUUGGGAGAUAGACCAAAGCUGGGAUGAGACAUGCAACCAUUAGCAAAACAUGUAGAAACACAUUUAACUUUUUAGGUGCAUUUCAUUCCCCAAUGUGCGAUACCCUAUGUGUUAAUUACCUCAAACUAACCGGUUUGUUGUGUUUGCUGAUUCAAGGUUCUAUUUUUUAAGCUGGAUGGUUUUGUGGUAACCUGGCUUCACACCCAUACUUUAUAAGGUCUAAAGGAAGUGUCGAAAUGACGUCAGAAAUUUAGCUACCAACAAUUACCCCCUCAGAUGGUAGCUAGUUGUCAGUGAUCCCGACGUUAGAGUCAGCAGCUGCUGAAGAGAACAGGGCAUUGCGCCUCUACAUGUUGGAAAUGUGGGAGGCUUGGUCUAAUAAUAGAGAGCCACCUAGUGAGAUACCUGGUUUUCCUGAACUAAUUCCCAGAACAAAUGGGACCUCCAACAUCCCCAUAAAUUACCCGACCACCCCAUUCGGAUACCCCCAUUAUGUCAGCCCAUUUCACAGGAAUGCCUUCUGAGGUUCGCCCCUAGGCUAUGGUUUCGGGAGUGUUUUCCAACAUAUUCACCGCACCACUAACUUCAGCUACGAUACAACCAACUUUGCCCAAGCCAAGUUUUGAGCCAUCAUCCUUUACUUUCUAGACACCGCCCUUUCCAUCGGACACAGAUCAUGUCACCCUAAACUCCUACCCUCAACAACCUUGGUAUGAGUUUACCACGGGACAAGAGAGAGCUAAAAAUAAUCCCGAGCAAGAGGAAAUCACUCGGAAAAUGAAAAGAAUGGAACAAAGCCUCAAGAAUAUACAAGGCUUAAGUGGCCAGAAAAGUGUCUCCUAUGCUGACUUAUGCAUGUUCACGCAUGUUCAUCUAACCAUCGGUUUUAAGACUCCCAAGUUUGAAAGGUAUGAUGGACAUGGGGACCCCAUAGCUCACCUGAAGAGGUAUUGCAAUCAGUUGAGGGGAGAAGGCGGAAAAGAAGAGCUCCUAAUGGCUUACUUCGGGGAAAGUCUAGUUGGAAUCGCAUAUGAAUGGUAUAUGGACCAAGAUAUCUCCCGCUGGCACAUAUAGGAUGACUUGGCCCGAGAUUUUGUUAGACAGAUCCAGUACAACGUGGACAUAGCUCCGGACACAAACUCUUUGUCUAAUUUCGAGAAAACGUCUUCGGAGAGCUUCCGAGAGUACAUCGUCAAGUGGCGUGAACAAGCUGCCAGGGUGAAACCCCCAAUGGAUGAGACCGAGAUGGUCAGUGUCUUCCUAUAAGCCCAAGAGGUUGACUACUUCCAAAACAUGAUGUCCGCUAUGGGUAAGCUAUUAGCAGAAGCCAUAAAGAUUGGAGAAAUAGUAGAGAAUGGUUUGAAAACGGGUCGCAUCCUGAGCCAGUCGGCUAUAAGAGCUACUUCUCAAGAAAUCCAGAGCGGGUUAGGGGGCGCAACAAAUCAGAAAAAGAAAGAAGAAGUAGCAAUGGUGGCCUCAAGUUUGAGAAACCCCCGUCAACCCCGAGGUUACUUUGGUUCCUCCUCAAAUACCCCGCAAUAUUAUUAUCCUUACCAGGAUGCAGCUUAUGCCAUGACUCCUCAGCCUUAUACGGUGAUGAAUGCCAUCCAUAUGCUCGACCAUAAUAACAGUUAAACCAAAACUGAUCUCCACCUCCCAGAAAUAACCCUCCUCAACAAGCUCCAUAUAAUCCAUGUCCCUACAGAAUAACUUUCCAUAUAACGCCCGUGCCCGUGAGCCACCCAGGAAGAAUAACUUCACACCUAUUGGGGAGCCGUAUUCUAGCCUCUUCCCAAAGUUGGUCCAAAUAGGUCUGUUGCAGUCCAUACCUCCAAACAGGCAAAUCUAGAGUCGCCCUCCUACCGAUACGGUACCCGAUGUGCUUAUAUUUAGGGGCAUAAGGGCACGACACUGAGGAUUGUUGGACCCUAAAAGGGCGGUUAAUAACCUGAUAGAACAAAAAUGGGUAGUUCUAAGGGAUGAAGAGGUCCCCACAACAACCCAUUACCAGCUCACAACAACGAGCCGGUUAUUGGGAUGAUCUGUGAAGACAAAGAGUUUGACUCGGCUUUGAAAGAUAUCAUUGCUAUUGCCGAUGUUGAAAAGAAGCCCAAAACAGUAGCAAAUUAAGCUAAGGAUGAGAAGAAAAACAAUCUCAUUCCUCAAAGCGUAGAAAAGGUUGUGGAAACCAAAACCGGGGCAGUACCUCCUAAAAUUUCCAUUCUAUAUGUCCCCAGGGCACCCAGGAAAGAGUAGUUUGUGUUGAUUCCCCCCAAAAGGUUUGAGCAAAACAAGGUCACACUGAUGGUACCAAAGAUGUACGUACCAAAGGGGAUUAAUGUGGCGCGGGGGCCAGUAAUUUCACCCAGGCUAACUGAGCCCGUGGUUAUCAGCCGCGCACCACAGAAGCCCAUGAAGGAUCCCACUACCGUCCCCUGGAACUACAAUAAAGCGGUAGUGACAUACAAGGGAAAAGAAAUCAUGGGGGAAGUGAAUGAAACAAACCCGUUGGGGAAGUACCUCUAUUUGGAAGAAGUGAACAAUGCCAAACAGAAGCAUUUUCCGCUUAAAAAACCAGUCAGUGCCAAAGAGGCAGAGGAAUUCUUCCGAAAGAUGAAAACUGUGGACUACGAAGUAAUUGACCAACUCUGGAAGUAUCCUUCCUAGGUCUCGCUUUUGUAUCUACCCAUAAGCAUGAGUGAACAUCAGAAAGUGCUGAUAAAAACCCUUAAUGAGGCAUAUGUUCCGGCCGAGACCACGGUUGAGCAAUUGGAAAGAAUGGCGCAACGAUUCUUUGAAGUCAAUCGGAUUUCAUUUAGAAUAAAUGACUUGCCCUUGGAAGGGGCUGCCCACAACAAAGCUCUUCAUUUGACAGUUAAAUGUGAAGGGUACUACGUGAAAAGAGUCAUGCUGGAUAGCGGAUCUGGGGUUGACAUCUGGCCUCUCUCAACUUUGCAAACAAUGGAAAUUGGGACUGAGAGAAUCAGGCCUAACAAUGUUUGUGUACGUGCUUUUGAUGGAGUCAAGAGAGACAUAAUAGGGGAGAUUGAUUUGAUCUUAACUAUCGGUCCUGUGGAUUUUGAAGUGACAUUUCAGGUCUUGGACAUGGACACUUCCUACAAUUUUCUCCUAUCAAGUCCUUGGAUCCAUGCGGCAGGGGCCGUACCUUCUACUCUGCACCAAAUGGUUAAGCUUGAACAUGAAGAUCAGGAAAUUGUGGUCCAUGGAGAAUAUGAGCAAUCAAUUUACUGGGACCCAUCAGUCCCAUGCCUGGAGGCUAAAGAAGGUAGCAAGCACAUAGUCUACCAAGCUUUUGAGAUUGUGGUCGCAGACAAAUGUGAGGAAGGAACCCCAUGUCCUCAACCCUUUUUGUCCAAUGCAUCAAUAAUGGUUGUCAGUGAGAUGAGCAGGCAUGGCUACAAGCCCGGGAAAGGGCUCGGGGCAUCUUUGCAAGGCAUUACGGAGCCCAUCACCUUGACUACCAGUGAGAAUUUCUUUGGUGUCGGUUUCCAAGCUACAGAAGCCGACGCGAAAUGGGCUAAAGAAUGCAAGAGCGAUGGGUGAGUUCUACCUCAGCCGGUCCUGCAUCUCGCCAUAACUUUUGUUAAACCAAGGUAUGUAGAGGAAGAAAAUGAGGCCUUCACAGCCAAAAUAAUUGAGGACAUAUGUGGAGCCAUGAGGCAAAUAUUAUAUGAAGCUCACAUGGUCCAGCUGGGAGAAGGUCGAGCACUGCUGAGGUGCAAUAUAUGGGGCCCAAUGCCAAGCUUCAAAAUUGGAAGGCUACUCUGUUCCUAGUCAGGCGGGAAUUCAGGUAGCUUAGUCUUGCCAUCCUUUCUGCAUUCCGAGUUAUUUCAGGGUGUAACUCGAAUGUCUUUUAGUUUUUGUUCUUUUAAAAUUACAAUGUAAACCCUUCUAUCUUCAAAUUCAAUGAAAUGAAAUCAAUAUUUCAUCGUAUAUGAAUCUCUUUCUUUAUUAUUUCUAAUUUUUGUUACUUUUCUUAUUUCUUCUCUCAGUUAUAAUAAUGCGGACUUAAAUAACAUGACAUACUUGUGGACUUCAUGCCCAGAUCCUAACACGCUGUCUGAUUGUGAAAUAAUGAAUCAAGAACCAGAAUACGAUGAAGAUGAGGCUUUUAGGGAAAUAAACCAAGAAUUGGAAAAAUUUGAGAAUGAUCCUAAGCCAAAUUCAAAUGAAACUGAGCCAAUUAAUUUGGGUAGUUCAGAGGAGGUCCAGGAAACCAUGAUAAGCAUUCACAUUGAUGAAAGAACUAGGGAUGCAUUAAUCCAACUCUUGUUCGAAUUCAAAGUUGUGUUUGAUUGGUCCUAUGAUGAAAUGCUAGGACUGAGUGUUGAUUUAGUGGUGCACAAAUUUCCAACUUACCCCGAUCAUCCCCCUGUCCAACAAAAACAGAGGACGUUCAAAACUAACAUAAGUGACAAGAUGAAAGAAGAGGUCACCAAACAGUUAAAAGCGGGUGUGAUCCAAGUGGUCCGAUACACCACGUGGUUGGAUAAUAUGGUCCUAGUGCCAAAGAAAGAUGGGAAAACCCAAGUGUGUGUUGACUAUCGAGAUCUGAACAAAGCAAGUUCGAAAGACACCUUCCCUUUACCAAACAUUCACAUAUUUGUUGACAACUGUGCCAAACAUGAGAUACAGUCUUUUGUGGAUUGUUAUGCUAGGUAUAAUCAGGUCUUGACGGAUGAGGACAAUGCAAAAAGAUGGCUUUCACCACCCCGUUGGGUACUUAUUGUUACAGGGUCAUGCCUUUUGGUUUGAAGAACGCCGGGGCAACUUACAUGAGAGCUAUGACUGCCAUCUUUCAUGACAUGAUGCACCAAGAAAUCGAGGUGUAUGUGGAUGAUGUAAUCAUUAAAUCAAGAAUGCAGGACGACCAUGUUCGGGAUCUGAGAAAGUUCUUUGAGCAUCUACGUAAGUAUGACUUAAAGUUAAAUCCAGCUAAGUGUGCAUUUGGAGUAUCAUCCGGGAAACUUUUAAGGUUUGUAGUUAGUCGGAGGGGCAUCGAGUUAGAUCCAACAAAGAUAAAGUCUAUUCGGGAUUUGCCUUCUCCAAGAACCAAGAAAGAGGUUAUGAGUCUGUUGGGAAGGUUGGAUUACAUCAGCAGAUUCAUUGCUUAGUUGAACUCCACAUAUGAACCCAUAUUUAAGCUUUUGAAGAAAGAUGCGGUGAUUAGAUUGACAGAUGAGUGUCAAGAAGCUUUUGACAAAAUCAAAGAAUAUCUGUCGAAUUCGCUAGUAUUGGUCCCACCCGAACCUGGAAGACAUUUAUUUUUGUAUUUGACAGUAUUAGAGAAUGCUCGGAUGUGUUCUCGAGCAACAUGAUGCUACCAAAAAUAAAGGACAUGCCAUAUACUAUUUGAGCAAGAAGUUUACUAGUUAGGAAGCCAAAUACGCAUUAUUGGAAAGGACUUGCUGCGCCUUAACUUGGGUUGCUCAGAAACUUAGGCCUACACCACCUAUGUCAUCACCAGAUUGGAUCCUUUGAAAUACAUAUUCCAAAAGCCAAUGCACACUGGGAGGUUAGCGAAAUGGCAAAUCCUGCUCACUAAAUUUGACAUAGCCUAUGUCACCCGCACGGCCAUGAAAGCUCAAGAUUUGGUGGAUCACCUAGCUAAAAAUCCUAUUGAUGAUGAAUAUCAGCCUUUGAGUACUUACUUUCCAGACGAGAAAUUGAAUUCAGUUGAGGUAAUAUCAGAAGACACCAAUUCUUGGAAAAUGUUCUUCGAUGGAGUUGUGAAUGCGAAAGGUGUCAGGAUUGGGGCAAUUUUGAUUUUGCCCACUGGUCAGCACUAUCCGUCCGUAGCUCGACUUCAGUUUUUUUGCACGAACAACACUGCCUAGUAUGAAGCCUACAUUAUGGGCAUGAACAUGGCAAUCGAUCAAGAUGUGGAAGAAUUGUUAAUCAUGGGAGAUUGUGACUUGAUUAUCCGACAAGCUCAAGGUGAAUGGGAAACUCGGGAUGUCAAGCUUCUUCCAUAAAGGCAACAUGUGGAAGAUCUUAGCAAACAGUUCAAAUCCGUCAAAUUCAGGUACAUUCCUUGGUUUCACAAUGAGUUAGCUGAUGUACUAGCUACUUUGGCCUCGAUGCUACCGUAUCCAGGCAAUGUCCACAUUGACCCAUUGGAAAUCCAAAUCCGAGAAAGACAUGGUUAUUGCAAUAUAGUUGAGGUGGAACCAGAUGUUUAGCCAUGGUAUCACGAUAUCAAAAGAUUCUUGAAAACAAAGGAAUAUCCCGAGCAAGCUAGUGGAGACCAAAAAGAACCAUUUGGAGGCUCGCCAGUGGUUUCUUCUUGAGCAGAGAGGUCUUGUACAAAAGAACUCCAGAUCUGAACCUUCUAAGAUGUGUUGACGCCCAAGAGGACGGAAGAAUCAUGAAUGAAGUGCACGUAGGAGUGUGUGGGCCCCAUAUGAAUGGAUAUGUCCUUGCAAAGAAAAUCCUUCGAGCAGGUUAUUACUGGAUGACUAUGGAAAAUGAUUGUUUCAGUUUUGUCUGAAAGUGUCAUCAGUGUCAAGUACACAGUGACCUGAUUCAUGCACCGCCUUCAGAAUUACAUCCUAUGUCAGCACUGUGGUCGUUCGUUGCUUGGGGUAUGGAUGUCAUUGGGCCAAUCGAGCCAAAAGCUUCAAAUAGGCAUAGAUUCUGUGAGGCCCCGUGAAAAUUUCCACUUUAAACCCGAAUGCUCGUAGUGGCAAUUAGGAAUAUGUGUUAGAGAUGUGUAAAAUUCAUCGUGGAAAGCUUGCUCGCCGUGGUUCGGACCCUUUAGAACUGGUCUAUGCAUUAAAAAGUCAAAGACUAAUGUUUUCCAGAAAAGUGCCCUUUUUGCGGUCCACUAUGCGGUCGCAUAAUAGGAAUGCAGAUCGCAUAGUCACCGCAGAGUGAAGCAAUGUGUUGGCCAAAUUGAUGUCAACUAUCCGGCCAAUUAUGCGAUCACAUAAUCGAUAUGCGGGCCGCAAAGUCGUCACAUAAUUCCCUUGGGAUUUUGUAAGGGGCAGUUCUGCGGUGCAUUAUGCGAUUGCAGAACGGGUAUGCGGACCGCAGUUCAGGUCUUGGGGAGCAUUUUUGCGGUCCAUUAUGCGGGCUGCAUGUCCACUUUGCGAUCGAAGAUCUGAGUCGGGGCUCUAGUUUUCUAAAUUUUAUACCUGACCCCCUGUCGUUAUAUCCGGUGCAAUAACUCAUUUUAAGCCCAUUUCCUGACACUUUUAGAGAGAGGGGGGGUCUAAGAGAGGGGAAGUGCUUCCCAUCAAAAUUACUCCAUGAAUCCUUGGUAAAUGAUAAUCAAGUGAGGGACCUAAACCCUCAUCCCAAAAGGUAAGGCUUCAUCACCUCAUCUCUCAUUUUUACACAUAGCUACAAAGGGUCAUUGGUGAGGUAAUUCAUGGGGAUAUGGGGGUUUGCAUUGCAUGCAUGUGUUCUUGAAGAUUAUGAGGAAUUAUAAAAGAGGAGGCAUGGGCAAUGGGAUAGUGUAAUCUUGCAUAAAAUAACCAUAAGGCCUUAGUGAACACUAAAUGCUCGGUAAAAUGCUCAAGAGAGCUUAGAUUAUGAUCUUUUCUUGAUUAUGAGUUAAAUUGUGCUAUAUUGCUUAAAUAGAUUAAAGUGCGAACAUUCCGGAAUGUUAUAGGAUUAAGGAAAGCUCGGUUGAGGUAUGUAUGGCUAAAACCUCGUCUUUUAGAAAUUGAGCUUCAUCGGCGUUUGUGUAGAUGUGGUAAGAUUAAAGCUGAAUUGUUGCAUUGCUUGUCAUUUUACAUGAAUUGAUGUUGUAACAGUAUACAACAACAACAACAACCCAGUAUAAUCCCACAAGUGGGGUCUAGGGAGGGUAAUAUGUACGCAGACCUUACCCCUACUCCGAGGGGCAGAGAGGCUGUUUCCAGGAGACCUUCAGCUCAAGAUAGCGACAAGAGACGAUAUAUUAGUACUAUCAAUAGACUCAUAAUAAAAUAGCAUAAAAUAACAUAAUAUAAAAAAUGACAGCAAUAUAAGAAAUAUAGGAAAUACGAAAAAGAUGGAAUAUAUAAUAAUAUCCAACAGAUAAAGCCCUGUAUCAGUAGCUGACCAGUAGCAUCCUAAGACUAACUCCUAACUGGAUAGUCUCACUCUAGUGUGCUGUAGAAAUACUCACAACUUCCCCCUAGCCUACAACCUUAAUGCUCGACCUCCACAAUUCCCUGUCAAGGACCAUGUCCUCAGUAAUCCUAAGUUGUGUCAUGUCCUGCCUGAUCACCUCUCCCCAAUACUUCUUAGGUCCCCCUCUACCUCUCCUCAUUCCCACCACAGCCAGUCGUUCACACCUCAUCACCGGUGCAUCAGUGCUCCUCCUCUGAAUGUGCCCAAACCAUCUGAGUCUUGUUUCCCGCAUCUUGUCCUCCAUGGGGGCCACGCCUACCUUCUCUCGAAUAUCUUCAUUCCUAAUCUUAUCCAUCCUUGUAUGCCCGCACAUCCAUCUCAACAUCCUCAUCUCUGCUACGUUCAUCGUCUGGAUGUGUGAGUUCUUAACCGGAACAUUUUUCACGCAUAUACGGUUACAACAUCCAAAAGAUGGCGCAACAUAUAUGUUGUCUUGAUAACUUGAAGAGGGAAAGGAUAUGAAUUAUGUAUCGAAAUGCUUGGACUUUAAAUUGAAAUUGAAGCUGCGUAUGUUGCCCCAUCCAUGUGAAGUCUCCUCUAUGCCUACAAUUUUAAUUGUUCUUGUGUGCGCUUAUUAUCCUAAAUUAAAAAUCUAACAUUGAAUGUGGAAACGAUGUGAUUAAUGCGAAGGGAAUAAUGCCUUGGAAAGGCAGCCUAGCGGAUUGGGCCGAGAUCGGACUCCGCUUAAGAUAGCGGUGGUAUUAUGAAUGAACUUCGGAAAGGAAAAGGAGAUUGUGAUUGAAAUAUAUGCCUCAAAUGAGGUGACCUAGCCGAUCGGACCGAGAUCGGACUCCACUCAAGAUAGCGGUGGUAUUGUGAACAAUGAUGAAUAGUGUGAAAUGCCCAAAACUAAAAGCUAUGUAAAAAUGAUGUGGAAGUUGUAUGAUUCUUUUAUUUGAUAAGGUGGUGAUCGUUUAAAGCUUGAGUUAUACUUGUGAUUUCUUAUUCUUGUAUGAAAGUUCUUUCUAACUAGAUGGUGUUUAGUUAUACAUGCUAGUACUAUUCCAUGGUACUAACGUCCCUUUUGUCGGGGGCGCUACAUUUUUAAAUGAAUGUAGGUGGAUCUAUUGCAGAUAGUGCGGAUCGCGCGUAGCGGAGUACCUUCUUCUUGAAAUCUUGGUGAGCCCCUUUCUCCUUCAAGGGGUUAUAUUGCACAUCUUUUGUUGUAGACUUCUACUUUUGAGGUAUAGCUGGGGCCUUGUUGCCGGCAUUGUCAUAACUUGUCUUUUCCUCCUUAGAGGCUCUGCAAACUAUGAUGUAAUUCAAAUUCUCGCUUUUGCUAAAGUGUAUUUGCAUGGAAUCUUAGAACUUAUCGAUAGUUUAAUGUUGUGAUUUAAAAUUAUCUAACAUUGUAGAAUUCACCCUCUUUCCUCAUCUAAUAAAUGAAUGAAAUCAUGGUUUCCUUAUUCAUAUCGAGUUGGGUAGAAAGUGCUUGAUAAGGCUUGCUCAGUUGGGGGCUUCUCGAUUGAGCACCGGUCAAGCCUCACGAGGUUGGGGCGUGACAAACUUGGUAUCCGAGCCUAAGGUUUUAAAGUGCCCUAGGAUGUCUCGGAGCCGUGUCUAGUAGAGUCCUUCUUACUGGUGUGUAGUCGACCACAUAUAUAAGUUGGAGGCUACUUGGGCAUUUAGGAAUAAUACCCUUCUUUGAUAUUCCGGAUCGUGCGGUGACACUUUUCCCUCUCUAAUUAGUGCAUUGUUCUAUCUUUCAGUAAAUAGCACCUAAGAAGAAAGCAAGAAUUGGACAGGAAGCCAAUGCUAAUGCUACUUCAAAAGUGACUGAUGAUUCACUGCUUGAUACUGUGGGUGAGGGUAGUCGCCCUGCUAUCACUCUGCCCGAUUCUUCUAUUCCAGAGCAGACUACCCCCAGUCCCUACACCCGUGGAGGGUACCACUAUCCCUCCCGAUAAUACUAUUUUCCCGCCUCCAGCCCCAGUUUCCGGUUCUAGUAUUUCUGAUGGAGAUCUUAGGGGAGCUAUUCAGAUAUUGACCUAGCUAGUGGCCUAUCCAGCCCAGAGGUCAAAUGUUGCGCCCAGUUCAUCCAGCCAGCAAAGGGAUUCUACUAGUUCUAGGGUAAAUAGAUUUCUUCAGUUAGACCCUCCAGUGUUUUCAGGUGCCAAUCCAGAAGAAGACCCUCAGAAUUUCAUUGAUGAGAUGCACAAGACCCUCAGGGUUAUGCGUGCAACUGAGACGGAGGGAGUAGAGUUGGCUGCCUAUGGUUUGAAAGGGGUGUCCUAUUCAUGGUUUGAGUUGUGGGAAGAUUCCCGAGAGGAGGGACGCCCUCCGGCGAGGUGGAGCGAGUUUGUUGAUGCCUUUAUAGAUCAUUUCCUACCCGCUGAGACAAGGGUAUCCCGUGCAGCAGAGUUUGAAAAUUUGAAGCAAGGUAACAAAAGUGUGUGGGAGUACCAUAUAGAGUUUGCUCGCUUGUCCAAGUAUGCCAUUCAUAUGUUGCCCACAAUGGAGGCCAGGGUGCGCCGGUUUGUUCAGGGCCUUAAUUCUUUGACUAUUAAUGAGGCUUCUACAGUUGCAUUAAAUUCUGACAUGAAUUAUAGGAAGAUGGUGGCAUUCGCUCAGGCCACAGAGAAGCAUAAAUUGAAGAACAGAAUGGAGAAAGAGGGUAACAUCAAGGCCCGGUCUACGGGCAACAUGGGAGAGUCACUAGGUGGGGAAAGAUCAGCUUUUAUGGGAGGAUCAUCAAGGCCUUCCCAGUCUGUUGCACAGUUUUUAGCUAGUGCACCGCCAUCAGGGCCCAGCCAGCAGCAGUGGAGUCGUUUUAGGCUCGGUCAGGGCAAUAGGGGAUCCCAUCAGCGGGGUCGGUCAGGAGAGAGGUUCCAGCAGCAACAGAGGUCCCCGUGCCCUAUGUGCGGGAAGAUGCACUCGGGGAUUUGCUACAUGGAGUUGCCUGUAUGUUAUGGAUGUGGGAUGAGGGGUCAUAUUUAAAGGCAUUGUCGUGUGUCCCGCCAGGGAGUAGGUAGGGGCACGACACAGCCAGCUAGCCCAUCAACUGCUACAUCUUUAGCCCCCUCUCCAUCUCGAGGUACCCCAGCACCUGCAGGGCGUGGUGCAGCUAGGGGUGGUGCGCAGAGUUCAGGAGGACCUAGCCAGUUCUAUGCUAUGAGUGGACGCCAGACCGCAGAGGCUUCCCCAGAUGUUGUUACAGGUAUUCUAACUGUCCAAUCUCAUGAUGUGUAUGCACUUAUUGACCCCGGUUCCACCCUGUCCUACGUUACCCCUUUUGUUGCUAUGGAAUUCAGGAAAGAACCAGAGCGGCUUCAUGAACCCUUCUUGGUGUCUACUCCGGUUGGUGAGUCAAUUUUGGCUACUCAAGUUUAUAGAAGUUGUGUUGUCAUGGUGUAUGGUAGGGAUACUAGUGCCGAUCUUAUUGAAUUGGGAAUGGUGGAUUUUGAUGUAAUAAUGGGAAUAGAUUAGCUUUAUUCUUGUUUUGCCAAGCUUGAUUGUCGGACUAGAACUAUGAGGCUUGAAUUUCCUAAUGAGCCCGCUAUUGAAUGGGAGGGAGAUAAUGUAGUGCCUAGAGGCCGGUUUAUUUCCUACCUUAAGGCCGCGAAGAUGAUCAAGAAGGUGUGUAUCUAUCAUUUAGUUCGAUUUACAGACACCAAUGCCGAGGUGCUUAGCCUUGAGUCUGUACCAGUUGUGAAUGAAUUUUUGAAUGUCUUUCCAGAUGAGCUCCUUGGGAUUCCACCAGACAGGAAGAUUAAUUUUAGGAUCGAUGUGAUGCCAGGCAUGCAGCCUAUAUCAAUUCCACCCUACAGAAUGGCACCGGCAGAACUGAAAGAGCUAAAGGAACAAUUAAAGGAUUUGCUAGAAAAGGGUUUCAUCCGUCCGAGCGUAUCACCGAGGGUCACACCGGUCCUAUUUGUAAGGAAGAAGGAUGGGUCUCUGCGGAUGUGUAUUGACUACCGACAACUCAACAAAGUCACAACCUAAAAUAAAUACCCUCUACCAAGAAUAGAUGACUUGUUUGAUCAACUGCAAGGUGCUACGUGUUUCUCAAAGAUUGACUUGCGGUUCGGGUAUCAUCAAUUGAAGAUAAGGGAGCAGGAUAUUCCAAAGAUGGCUUUCAAAAUUCGGUAUGGGCACUUUGAAUUUAUGGUGAUGUCCUUUGGGCUAACAAAUGCCCCGACAACUUUCAUGGAUCUUAUGAAUCGAGUCUUCAAGCCUUUUCUAGACUCCUUUGUAAUAGUAUUCAUUGACGAUAUUCUUGUGUUUUCCCGAAGUUAGGAGGACCAUGCUGACCACCUCAGGGUAGUUUUGCAGACUCUUCAGCAACAUCAAUUGUAUGCAAAAUUUUCAAAAUGUGAAUUUUGGCUUGAAUCUGUAGCGUUCUUGGGUCAUGUUGUUUUCGGGGAAGGAAUUACGGUUGAUCCUCAAAAGAUUGCAGCAGUGAAGAAUUGGCCUAGACCUACCACUCUAAUGGAGAUUCGUAGUUUCUUGGGUUUGGCUGGGUACUACAGGAGAUUUGUGGAGGGGUUUUCUACUCUUGCCUCUCCAUUGACUAAAUUGACCCAGAAAGCAGUAAGUUCCAAUGGUCAGACGCUUGUGAGAAGAUCUUCCAAGAAUUGAAAUCAAGAUUGACUACAGCACCGGUACUAACCCUGUCGGAGUGUAUAGAGGGAUUUGUGGUGUAUUGCGAUGCUUCCAGAAUCGGGCUCGGGUGCGUGUUAUUGUAGCAUGGAAAGGUAAUAGCAUACGCUUCUAGGCAACUCAAGAAUCAUGAAAAGAACUAUCCAACUCAUGACUUAGAGCUUGCGGCAAUGGUGUUUGCGCUAAAGAUUUGGCGACAUUAUCUAUAUGGGGUCCAUGUGGAUAUAUUCACGGACCACAAGAGCCUUCAAUAUAUUUUCAAGCAGAAGGAGUUGAAUCUGAGGCAAAGAAGAUGGCUAGAGUUCUCAAGGACUAUGACAUUGAUAUUCUCUAUCACCCGGGAAAGGCUAAUGUUGUGGAAGACGCUCUUAGUCAAAAAUCUAUGGGAAGUUUGGCUUAUUUGGAGGCAUGUCAGAGGCCGUUAGCCAGGGAGGUUUACCAGUUGGCUAGUUUGGGAGUUUGCCUAGCAAACUCUAAUGAAGGAAGGGUAAUUGUGCAGAAUAGGGUUGAAUCAUCGCUUGUGGCAGAGGUGAAAGAAAAAUAAUUCAAUGAUCCAUUAUUAGCACAACUGAAAGAGGGGAUUCACAAACACAAGACCACAUCUUUUUCCCUUAGUAUGGAUGAUGGUACCCUACGAUACCAAGACUGCCUAUGUGUUCCUGAUAUUGACGAUCUUCGGGGAAGGAUAAUGGCAGAAGCUCACACUUCCAGGUAUUCCGUGCACCCAGGUUCUACGAAAAUGUACCAUGAUCUCAAGGAAAUUUAUUGGUGGAACAACAUGAAGAAGGAUGUGGCGGACUUUGUGGCAAAAUGUCCGAAUUGUCAGCAAGUGAAGGCCGAACAUCAAAGGCCUGGUGGAUUAGCUCAAAGCAUAGAAAUUCCAAUGUGGAAGUGGGAGAUGAUUAACAUGGAUUUUGUGGUAGGGUUGUCGCGCACUCCGUGCAAGUUCGACUCAAUUUGGGUAAUCGUGGAUCGACUCACGAAAUCAGUGCACUUCUUGCCAGUUAAAGCUACUGACACAGCAGAACAGUAUGCCCAGUUGUAUAUCAAGGAACUGUCAGGUUACAUGGUACUCCAGUCUCAAUCAUUUCCUAUUGAGGGGCUCGGUUCACCGCUAACUUUUGAAAGAAAUUUCAGCAAGGUUUGGGCACACAGAUAAAUCUUAGCACAACUUUUCACUCUCAAACUGACGGGCAAGUAGAGCCGAUCAUUCAGACGCUUGAGGACAUGUUGCGUGCUUGUACUCUUGAUUUCAAGGGUAGUUGGGAUGACCAUUUGCCACUCAUAGAAUUUGCUUACAACAAUAGCUUCCAUGCUAGUAUCUAGAUGACACCAUUUGAGGCAUUGUAUGGUAGGAGAUGUAGGUCUCCCAUUGGGUGGUUCGAGGUUGCAGAAGCGGAAUUGAUAAGGCUAGACCUCAUGCAUCAGGCCAUGGAUAAAGUUAAGAUUAUUAAGGAGAGGUUGAAAGCUGUUCAGAGUCACCAAAAGUCUUACUCGGAUGUUUGUCGCAGAGAUUUAGAGUUCAGUGAAGAUGAUUGUGUAUUUUUGAAGGUUUCCCCUAUGAAGGGCAUCAUGCGGUUUGGGAAGAAGGGAAAAUUGAGUUCGAGGUAUGUUGGACCAUACAAAAUUAUUCAGAAGAUUGGUCAGGUGGCAUACAAGCUCGAGCUACCACCCGAGCUGUCAUUGGUACAUCCGGUCUUCCAUGUGUCUAUGUUGAGAAAGGUAGUAGGAGAUUCGUCCACUACUGUGCCUAUUGAAACUAUUGAGGUUAAUGAAGAGCUGUCGUAUAAAGAAGUUCCAGUUGUCGUUCUUGAUAGGCAAGUUCGAAAAUUGAGAAAUAAGGAAAUUGCAUCCGUUAAAGUGUUAUGGCGGAACCGGCAAGUUGAGGAAGCCACUUGGGAAGCGAGGAUGAAAUGAAAAAGAAGUACCCAUAUUUGUUUGAAUAGUCAUGAAAUAGCUUUUAUGCACUUAGCUUCUAUGAACUAUUAUCUUUUGAAUUAAUCUAUGUAUCGUAUAACUUCGUAUAAUGUAUGCUAUACGAAGUUAUUACNNNNNNNNNNNNNNNNNNNNNNNNNAUACUUAUAUUACUAUAUAUAUAUAUAUAUAUAUAUAUAUAUAUAUAUAUAUAUAUAUAUAUAUAUAUAUGUUUUCUAUGCGACCAUGGUUAGUAUUGUACGAGUUAUGUUAUGCCUAUGGAAUGUGUACCUGCUGUUAGGAUGUGUUUCUAGGGCCCUCUGACAGGUAGAUAAGGCCCAGAUACAAAGGAAACAAAUUUUGGCAAUUCAAGGAGUUAGCCAAAUUUGGAGACUAAUAGUAUGUUCAGGUUGAGAAAAAAAAAUUAGAAGGUUGCAUAAGAGAUUGCUAAUAAGCGAACCUUGAUCCUCAUUCAAGGACGAAUGAUCUUAAGUGGGGGAGGAUGUGAGGCCCUGUGAAAAUUUCCACUCUAAGCCCGAAAGCUCGUAGUGGCAAUUAGGAAUAUGUGUUAGAGAUGCGUAAAAUUCUUCGCGACAAGCUUGCUCGCCGCGGUUCAGACCCUUUAGAACUGGUCUAUGCAUUAAAAAGUCAAAGAAUAAUGUUUCCAGAAAAGUGCCCUUUUUGCGGUCCUCUAUGCGGUCACAUAAUAGGAAUGUGGACCGCAUAGUCAACGCAGAGUGAAGCAGUGUGUUGGCCAAAUCAAUGUCAACUAUGCGGCCAAUUAUGUAAUCGCAUAAUCAAUAUGCGGGCUGCGAAGUCAUCGCAUAGUUCCCCUGGGAUUUUGUCAGGGGCAGUUCUGCAGUGCAUUAUGCGACCGCAGAACGGGUAUGUGGACCGCAUUUCUACCGCAUACCCAGACAGUGUGUUCAGGUCUUGGGGAGCAUUUUUGCGGUCCAUUAUGCAGACCGCAUGUCCACUUUGCGAUCGCAAAUGCGAUCACAGAUCCGAGUCGGGGCUCUAGUUUUCUAAAUUUUAAACCCGACACCCUGUCGUUAUAUCCGGUGCAAUAGCUCAUUUUGAGCCCAUUUCUUGACACUUUUAGAAAGAGAGAGAGGGGUCUAAGAGAGGGGAAGUGCUUCCCAUCAAAAUUACUCCAUGAAUCCUUGGUAAUCAUUGAAGAUAAUCAAGUGAGGGACCUNNNNNNNNNNNNNNNNNNNNNNNNNAGUAUAAGGAAUAAUAAAGAGGAGGCAUGGGCAAUGGGCUAGUGUAAUCUUGCAUAAAAGAACCAUAAGGCCUUAAUGAAUACUAAAUGCUCGGUAAAAUGCUCAAGAGAGCUUAGAUUAUGAUCUUUUCUUGAUUAUGAGUUAAAUUGUGCUAUAUUUCUUAAAUAUAUUGAAGUUGCUUAAAUAUAUUGAAGUGCGAACAUUCCAGAACGUAAUAGGAUUAAGGAAAGCUCGGUUGAGGUAUGUAUGGCUAAAAACCCCGUCUUUUAGAAAUUGAGCUUCAUUGGCGUUAUUGUGGAUAUUGUAAGAUUAAAGCUGAAUUGUUGCAUUGCUUGUCAUUUUAUAUGAAUUGAUGUUGUAACCGUAUAUGCGUAAAAAAUGUGUCUCAACAUGAUCAACGUGCUAUCUUGAUAACUUGAAGAGGGAAAGGAUAUGUUAUGUAUCGAAAUUCUUGGACAUUAAAUUGAAAUUGAAGCUGCGUAUGUUGCGCCAUCCAUGUGAAGUCUCCUCUAUGCCUACAAUUUUAAUUGCUCUUGUGUGUGCUUAUUAUCCUAAAUUACAAAUCUAACAUUGAAUGUGGGAACGAUGUAAAUGUGCAGCCUAGUGCCAAGGAUAAUGUGAUGAGUUGUGGUCACAAGUGCCUAUGAAAUGAUAUAUGUGAAACGAAGUGAUUAAUGCGAAGGGAACAAUGCCUUGGAAAGCAGGCUAGUCGAUCGGGCCAAGAUCGGACUCCGCUCAAGAUAGCGGUGGUAUUGUGAAUGAAUUCCGAAAAGGAAAAUGAGAUUGUGAUUGAAAUAUAUGCCUCAAAUGAGGCGACCUAGCCGAUCAGGUCGAGAUCGGACUCCGCUGAAGAUAGCGGUGGUAUUGUGAACAAUGAUGAAUAGUGUGAAAUGCCCAAAACUAAAAGCUAUGUAAAAAUGAUGUGGAAGUUGUAUGAUUCUUUAAUUUGAUAUGGUGGUGAUCGUUUAAAGCUUGAGUUAUACUUGUGAUUUCUUAUUCUUGUAUGAAAGUUCUUUCUAAAUAGAUGGUGUUUAGUUAUACAUGCUAGUACUAUUCCAUGGUACUAACGUCCCUUUUGUCAGGGGCGCUACAUUUUUAAAUGAAUGUAGGUGGCUCCAUUGCAGAUAGUGCGGAUCACGCGUAGCAGAGUACCUUCUUCUUGAAGUCUUGGUGAGCCCCUUUCUCCUUCAAGGGUUAUAUUGCGCAUCUUUUGUUGUAGGCUUCUACUUUUGAGGUAUAGCUGGGGCCUUGUUGCCGGCAUUGUCAUAACUUGUCUUUUCUCCUUAUAGGCUCCAUAGACAUACGUGUAGGUUAUGUACAGGUGUUGGAUGGGCCUGCGAACUAUGAUGUAAUUCAAAUUCUCUCUUUUGCUAGAGUGUAUUUGCAUGGAAUAUUGGAACUUAUCGACGGUUUAAUGUUGUGAUUUAAAAUGAUCUAACAUUGUAGAAUGCACCCUCUUUCCUCGUCUAAAUAAUUGAAUGAAAGCAUGGUUUCCUUAUUCGUAUCGAGUUGGGUAGAAAGUGCUUGAUAAGGCUUGCUCAGUUGGGGGCUGCUCGAUUGAGCGCCGGUCACGCCUCCCGAGGUUGGGGCGUGACAGAUUCAUAUUAGUUGCCAUUGACUACUUCAAAAAGUGGGUCGAAGCAGUCAAGCUCAAAGCCAUCACUAAGAAAUCAGUGGUGGACUUUGUGCAUUCCAACAUUAUCAGUCGUUUUGGUAUUCCUAAAACUAUCAUUACAGACAAUGCUGCAAAUUUGAAUAGUCAUUUGAUGAGGGAGAUAUGCGAACAAUUUAAGAUCACGCAUCGGAAUUCUACCCCUUAUCGCCCCAAAGCCAAUGGUGUUGUUGAAGCAGCAUACAAGAACAUCAAGAAGAUUCUUAGAAAAAUGAUUCAAAGUUCUAGACAAUGGCAUGAAUAUUUGUCGUUUGCAUUGUUGGGAUAUCGCACAACUGUGUGCACAUCAGUUGAAGCAACACCCUAUCUAUUGGUUUAUGGCACUGAAGCCAUAAUACCCGCAGAAGUUGAAAUUCCAUCUCUUCGAAUCACCGUUGAAGCUUAGAUUGAGGACAGUGAAUAGGUCAAGACCCAUCUGGAAUAGUUAACCUUGAUUGAUGAAAAGUGAAUGGCCGCAGUUUGCCACAUGCAGCUGUAUCAACAAAGAAUGGCACAUGCCUACAACAAGUGAGGCCUAGGAACUUUGAAGUGGGCCAGCUUGUUUUGAGACGUAUUCUCCCACAUCACAAGGAAGCAAAAGGAAAAGUCGCUCCAAACUGGAAGGGCCCGUACAUUAUAAGAAAAUUGUUGCCGAAAGGGGCAUUGUACUUGGGAGACAUUGAAGGAAAUGACCCUGAAACGGCUGUCAAUGCAGAUGCGGUCAAAAGGUAUUACGUUUAACCCUUCUACGGUACCAAUAUUAUCCGAUUGAGAUGAUGAAGGCUUACAUUCUCUCUACCCCCAAAUAGUUCAACCCUUUGCCAACCCAUUGAGCCGGUUACCUUACCUUGAUUACCCUCUUUGGAACCCGAAAACGUUUGCAAAAAAAAUAAAAAAUCAAAGACAAUUUUUUCCUGAACUACGUUCGACUUGAUUCCGAAAGGAUACGUAGGCAGCCUCUCUCUGGGGUUCAGUCACACCAAAACAAAAAUCCACAUUUCCCCAAAGUUGAAAUUGGGGCAGAAUUUUAAUGGUUCGGUGAUAGUCACCUGAAAGGUUCCAAAGUUGUAAUUCAAUCCAAACUCUUUUAUCCUAAAUCAUGUUCAAAGUCCUUCUGAUCAAUCGAUAAAGAUGUUCAAAUGGAAGGAUGUUGGUUAUUUGAAUCUGAUACAAUCAAAUGAGAGAGUCUUAUUGGUAAAAACCCACACAGGCACCGUAAGGCGAUGGUGAGUAGAGAAAUUGAAAAUGAGAGAGUCUUGUUAGUGAAAACUUGCAAAGAGCACUAUAAGACGACGGUAAGAAGAUAAAUGAGAUAGGUUAGUUGGUGAAAACUCGCAAAGGGCGUCACUGAUCGAAAAAGGAAUUCCUUACAACCAUCGGCACUGAUAGAGUCCUAGUAAGGUUUGUCGAUUUUGAGGUAUGAGUUAUGAUGGGUUUAUGAGAGAUUGGAUGGUUGCACAGAUCGGGUGUCCAGUCCAAGAAUCAUGUCAUGUCUAUUGAAGUCUGCAUGCACUCCAGAUAAGUCCUUCUUUCCUUUCCCCGAAAGGGACACUUCGUGUUCGAGCUCUUUAUCCUGUCCUUUGUUUACCAUUCUUUGAAUCUCUUUUGGUUUAAUCCUCCUCCGAAACUAAUACAAAGAAGAGAUGGCAAAAUUGGUUUUAUAGGGUUUUGUUUAACAAAAGCUUAAAUUCAAGGGAAAGCACCGAGCCUCGGCAGGAGCAUCAAGUCGAUCUCGACCGGCCAUGAUUGUCGAUGCUCCAGAGUCAAAAUUAUUGAAAAGGAAAGAAAUCCAAAGUCAAGUGCCCAUAAAGGCAAAAUAAGAUGAAAAGGCUAAGCCCCCACACGGGCUAACCAUCAUGUGAAAUUUUGGAAAGCUAAGAUCCUUGGGUUUACAAAAGAGACAGAUUUCAAGAAAGCCAGUGAGUGAUGGAGAUUUUUAUCGAAAGAGUUGAGCCGAGAUAAAGUGAUCAAAACAAUCAAGGCCUUAAAACUAACCAUCGUUUCAAACUAACGAAUUGUUCUUUGAUUUGAAAAUAGGAAAACAGGUGCAGUCCAAAACAACCCUGCAAGAAGCAGGUGCAAUAAAAGCAAGGCACGCAGAAACCAUAACGGUUCUGCAGCAAGAGUUGAUCCGAAAAGGAAAAUCCUUUUAAACUCUUCAUUCAUUCUCCUAGAUAAAAUGAAAAGUGAAAAAAAAAGAAUAAGAAAAAUUCAAAAUCAUGGUAGCAUAAGGUCUCCAACUAGCUACGUCUUUCCAACAUAGGGUCCCAUUCCCUAGUCGCUGCCAGCAUAACCUGGAAGCCUUUUUUAGUAUAGGAUCCCACUCCUUAGUUGAUCCCCGGCAUCACCUGAGGACCUUUUUCCGGAAUAACCCGAUGAAUUCCCGGCAUAACCCGUGGACCUCCCUGGCAUAACCCGAGGACCUUUUUUUGGCAUAACUCGAUAACUUUUCCAACAUAACCCAUGGACCUCCCCGGCAUAACCCGAGGAACUUUUUCCGGAAUAACCCGAUGACUUUUCCGGCAUAACCCGUGGACCUCCCCGGCAUAACCCGGGCACCUUUUUCCGGCAUAACCUGAUUACUUUCCCGGCAUAACUCGUAAACCACCCCGACAUAACUCGAGGACCUUUUUCUGGCAUAAUCCAAUGACUUGGCAUAACCCGUGGACCUCCCCGGCAUAACCCGAGGACCUUUUUUCCGGCAUAACACGAUAACUUUUCCGUCAUAACUCGUGGACCUCCCCGGCAUAACCCGUGGACCUCCCCAUCAUAACCCGAGGACCUUUUUUCGGCAUAACCCGAUGACCUCCCCAGCAUACCCGAGGACAUUUUUCGGUAUAACCCGGUGACUUUCCCGACAUAACCCGUGGAUCCCCCGGUAUAACCCGAGGAACUUUUCCGGCAUAAACCGAUGACUUUUCCGGCAUAACUCGUGGACCUCCCCAGCAUAACAUGAGGACCUUUUCCGGCAUAACCCGAUGACCUUUCCCGGCAUAACCUGUGGACCUCCCCGACAUAACCUGAGGACCUUUUUCCGGCAUAACCCGAUGACCUUUUCCGGCAUAACCCGAUGACCUUUCCCCGCAUAACCCAAGGACUUUUUUCAGCAUAACCCAGUCAUUUUUCCAGCAGAACCUGGUAAUCUUCCCAACUUGGGGUCCUCCGAUCCCCAUUUGAUUUUCAUUUUAGAUAUAGGGUCUCCACUCCUUAAUCUCUUUUUCUUAAGGAUACACAAUCCCGAUUUUAUUGCUUUCAAUAAAGAAAUAGUUUAGAUUUUUGUUACAAUAACUCACGAAAUUUUUCUAGUGAAAACUGGGGCAGAAAAAUUUAAUUUCGUUUGUUUGUUUUUGUUACUGAGAAGGUUAUUCCUCAAGACACAGGGCUCGAGAUAAUCAAAAAAAAGACUCGAUCUAGAAUAAAAGAAAAGAAAGAACAAGAAAAGAAGUGAACUCUAAGUGUAGAAGCGGAGAAAAAGAUGUGGAUUGUUCAAGAUAUGAUUGAAGUCACAAGCUUUGCAUGUCCCGCCUUGAUCCAAAAAGCUGACGAAAAAUGAACCAGCAAGGCAGCUAACGAGCAUCAGGAUUCAGAUCAGAGUGUGCAGGAAGAACCAGCCAAGACUCAAGAUCAAGCUUUAGAAGGUUUAUAGAUAGGAAUCUUGUAACUCGUAGUUGAUACGCUUAGCUAGUUUAGUUUUUGAUUUUUCAUUUUUGGUGUAAUAAGGAGCUAAGCAAGCAGAAACAGCAGCAGCAGUGAAAUCACAGUUUUCCGGUAGUCCCAACUACUAAAACUUCCAAAACUACAAUGACCUGAUUCCUUUAUAGCCAAGGAUAUGUAGGCAACCUCCAAAACAAGGUUCGGUCAGACUUUUUCAAAAGACGUUUCUCAUGCAGUUUCAAACAAGCAAAAAUAGAUCGUAAUUGCUCGUUUUAUCUUUGCCCUAAAACCCUUCGUGUUUGAGCAAAGAGGGGCAGUUGUGAGCAUGUAAUUUUUGCCCUAUAUGAAUUACUCCUACAAAAUCAAAGAAAAUAGAUUUUUUUCAAUUACUUGCCAUUUUAUAGGAUUUUUGUAGGAUUUUAUUAAUUGUUUGCAUUUUUGUGCACGUUUAAUUUUGUUUAAAACCACAAAAAAUAUCAAAAAUAUCAUGCAUUGCAUUUAGAUUUUUGUUUUUAUAUUUUUAAGAUUAAUUAGUUAAUUAAUUAUUUUAUUAAAAAUAAAAAUCACAAAAAUGGCUCAUUUUUACAUUUUUACCUUUUAAAUUUUAAAUUAGUGAUUUUUCUCUUUUAAUUUAGGAUCAAGUAAUUUUUAUAAAUUUUAUAAUUAGAUAAUUAGUUUAAUUUUACAUCUUAGACUAAUUUAGGGUUUAGUUUAGGAUUUUUUUUAUUAAUUAAAGAAAAAGAAAAAGAGAAACCAAGGAAAAAGGAAAUAAAAGGAUUAAUUGAAGAAAGAGUUUAAAAUUAAAUUUGGACUGAUUUUUAUGCCUAAACCCGUUCCCAAAUACAUCCAGAACCCAGGCCCAAAAUUCCUUACCAGGUCCAACCCCUCACUAACCCGAAACGACGUUGUUUCUUUGUCUUUCAAUCACAGCCAUUGGAUUCUUUUGAUCCAACGGCUCGGAACUAGGCAAUCAAUGGUAAUAUAACUAUCCUAAAACUAGUCACCCCCCCCCCAAACUUCUAACAUCAGUCCAUUUCCCUUCUCAAACACUCUCGAAUGAGAAACCCUAGCCGCCCCUUUUACCCUCGCCAUCUCCGCCGUGGUCCGUCGACCGGAAAUUGCCUCACAGCGGUGGACCACCUCCAAACUCUACUAAAUUAACAGCAGAUAACCACCAUAACCUCCUCAU
This 29351-nucleotide long non-coding RNA is filed under the name Nicotiana tabacum (common tobacco). Its description in RNAcentral is "long non-coding RNA (NTAB_LNC005607)". The record is from RNAcentral. Lineage: Eukaryota; Viridiplantae; Streptophyta; Magnoliopsida; Solanales; Solanaceae.